This 705-nucleotide ribosomal RNA is filed under the name Petrolisthes cinctipes (flat porcelain crab). Its description in RNAcentral is "SSU rRNA". It matches the Rfam family "Eukaryotic small subunit ribosomal RNA", at positions 614 to 1275 of the family's 1831-position model. The record is from RNAcentral. Lineage: Eukaryota; Metazoa; Arthropoda; Malacostraca; Decapoda; Porcellanidae.
UGCGGUUAAAAAGCUCGUAGUUGGAUCUGAGAUGCAGGGCGACCGUAUUGCUGCACGGCGGCGAUACAGUGUCGUCUCCUGUAGUGCCCCUCCUUCUCGAUAUACUGAGGGGAGUCUGGGCCCAGCCGGCUCGCACGGGAUUCCCUUUAUCGGUUGUCCCGAGUGGCUGGUGAGUUUACUUUGAAAAAAUUAGAGUGCUCAAAGCAGGCAGUAUAUUAAGCCUGAAUGGUGAUGCAUGGAAUAAUGGAAUAGGACCUUGGUUCUAUUUUGUUGGUUUUAACUGAACCCAAGGUAAUGACUAAGAGAGACAGUCGGGGGCAUUUGUACUGUGACGCUAGAGGUGAAAUUCUUGGACCGUCACAAGACAAACAACUGCGAAAGCAUUUGCCAAGGAUGUUUUCAUUAAUCAAGAACGAAAGUUAGAGGUUCGAAGGCGAUCAGAUACCGCCCUAGUUCUAACCAUAAACGAUGCCAACCAGCAAUCCGCCGGGGUUAUUCCCAUGACCCGGCGGGCAGCUUCCGGGAAACCAGAGUCUUUGGGUUCCGGGGGAAGUAUGGUUGCAAAGCUGAAACUUAAAGGAAUUGACGGAAGGGCACCACCAGGAGUGGAGCCUGCGGCUUAAUUUGACUCAACACGGGAAACCUCACCAGGCCCAGACACUGGAAGGAUUGACAGAUUGAGAGCUCUUUCUCGAUUCAGUGGGU